RNAcentral lists this ribosomal RNA (694 nucleotides) under uncultured Staphylococcus sp. RNAcentral describes it as "bacterial SSU rRNA". It matches the Rfam family "Bacterial small subunit ribosomal RNA", at positions 47 to 723 of the family's 1533-position model. The record is from RNAcentral. Lineage: Bacteria; Bacillati; Bacillota; Bacilli; Caryophanales; Staphylococcaceae.
CCUAAUACAUGCAAGUCGAGCGAACGGACGAGAAGCUUGCUUCUCUGAUGUUAGCGGCGGACGGGUGAGUAACACGUGGAUAACCUACCUAUAAGACUGGGAUAACUUCGGGAAACCGGAGCUAAUACCGGAUGAUAUUUUGAACCGCAUGGUUCAAAAGUGAAAGACGGUCUUGCUGUCACUUAUAGAUGGAUCCGCGCUGCAUUAGCUAGUUGGUAAGGUAACGGCUUACCAAGGCAACGAUGCAUAGCCGACCUGAGAGGGUGAUCGGCCACACUGGAACUGAGACACGGUCCAGACUCCUACGGGAGGCAGCAGUAGGGAAUCUUCCGCAAUGGGCGAAAGCCUGACGGAGCAACGCCGCGUGAGUGAUGAAGGUCUUCGGAUCGUAAAACUCUGUUAUUAGGGAAGAACAUAUGUGUAAGUAACUGUGCACAUCUUGACGGUACCUAAUCAGAAAGCCACGGCUAACUACGUGCCAGCAGCCGCGGUAAUACGUAGGUGGCAAGCGUUAUCCGGAAUUAUUGGGCGUAAAGCGCGCGUAGGCGGUUUUUUAAGUCUGAUGUGAAAGCCCACGGCUCAACCGUGGAGGGUCAUUGGAAACUGGAAAACUUGAGUGCAGAAGAGGAAAGUGGAAUUCCAUGUGUAGCGGUGAAAUGCGCAGAGAUAUGGAGGAACACCAGUGGCGAAGGCG